RNA transcript from Mobula hypostoma (lesser devil ray), 5608 nucleotides. It is a transcript of the gene named deleted in malignant brain tumors 1 protein-like, with no coding region annotated. The record is from RefSeq and is a predicted model, not a curated record. The transcript has 21 exons. Lineage: Eukaryota; Metazoa; Chordata; Chondrichthyes; Myliobatiformes; Myliobatidae.
ACAACAGAAGCACGUUCCUCUGUGCUUGGUCCGUGCGGAACACUGGUAUGCACAGAUUGAGCUGGGUUAAGGGUUAGGCUUUAGCUGAAAACGUCGAUGCUACUAGGGCGGCUGGGGUGGUUGCGGAAUUGCGAUUCAUUGUAGAGCAAGUAUGGAUGAACAACAUGUACGAUUCCAAGUUUCGAUAUGAAAUCCGAUUGCUUGACCGUUAUCAGGAAGAGGGGUUAGAUUUCCAAGCCAGAAACGCGUAGAACAUGUAUCCAUGGCUUGGACGUUGUUAUUUCAGACCUUAGUGAUUCUGGGAAUUCAGCAGAAUGUGUAUUCACAAGAUCAUGAGGACCUUCAUCGGUCGAGGUCGACCAUACACAUUCCGUUCUGGCUGCAACGUAGUCGAUAUCGAGAGCAACCUGUUGUCCAUGAAGCAGCAACCCCCACCCCCCGGACCACCACCACGCUCCAAGGACGAUCAAUCCAAAGUGCCUGCGGUGCGAUUGGUGAAGGGAGAUGGCUACUGUUCAGGAAGAGUGGAAAUAAACUACAAUGGAGAAUGGGGAACGGUCUGCGAUGAUGACUGGUCCUUGGAUGACGCGCAGGUUGUGUGCCGUCAACUGGGGUGUGGUGUUGCCGUGUCAACAGAAUCCUCUAGCAAAUUCGGGCCAGGUACAGGGAAGAUUCUGAUGGACAAUGUUGCCUGUAGCGGAACAGAAUCCUUCCUGUCGGCCUGUUCCUUCGGCGGCUGGGAAAACCACAAUUGCAAUCACAACGAAGAUGCUGGUGUUGUCUGCCAACCAGGUUUGAAAUUGAGACUGGUGGGCGGGAGCAAUCGCUGUUCCGGACGCCUGGAGGUCCGCUACAAUAACGAGUGGGGAACAAUUUGCGACGACGAUUGGUCAGCUGAAGACGCUGCAGUUGUUUGUCGACAGCUCGGCUGCGGUUUCCCCGCGACUGCGCACCCGGGAACGCACUACGGGCCAGGUCGUGGGACUAUCUGGAUGGACGAUGUUGCGUGCAAAGGGAAUGAAGAUUUUCUCUCAGCUUGCGCUUUCCGCGGAUGGGGAGUGAACAACUGCCAGCACGACGAAGAUGCAGGCGUGACCUGCCAGUCAGAUGCGGCCGUGCGGCUGGUAAACGGCAGCGACACCUGUUCAGGAAGAGUGGAGGUGUAUUACAAUGAGACAUGGGGAACAGUUUGCGACGACAGUUGGGGUCCAGAAGAGGCGAAGGUUGUCUGCAAUCAGAUGGGCUGCGGCUCUCGCGCAAAGGAGGUGUCAGGAGCGUACUUCGGGGAAGGUAGCGGGAAAAUUUGGAUGGACAAUGUCGCGUGCAGUGGAAGUGAAUCUUCUAUUGUGCAUUGUUCCUUCGCCGGAUGGGAAACCCAUGACUGCGCACACUAUGAAGAUGCUGCUGUGAUUUGUGAGGAAGAGUCGGCAGUGCGGCUGGUGAACGGUAGUGACACCUGUUCGGGAAGAGUGGAGGUUUAUUACGAUGGAGUGUGGGGGACCGUUUGCGACGACGAGUGGGGCCCUGAAGAGGCGAAGAUUGUCUGCAAACAGUUGGGCUGCGGCAGUCAUGCUACAGCAAAGUCGGGAGCGUACUUCGGGAAAGGUUGCGGGAACAUCUGGAUGGAUAAUGUGGCCUGCAGUGGAAUAGAAUCCUCUCUUGUGUACUGCUCCUUCGCCGGUUGGGGGAUCCAUGACUGCGGUCAUCAGGAAGAUGUAGCUGUGAUCUGUGAGGAAGAGGCGACGAUGAGGCUAGUGAACGGGAAGGACGUCUGUUCUGGAAGAGUGGAAGUCUAUUAUCAAGGGAAGUGGGGAACUAUUUGCGACAAUGGCUGGGAUGCUGAAGAUGCGAAGGUUGUUUGCAAACAGAUGGGUUGCGGCUCCCGAGCAACGGCAAUGUCGGAAGCCCACUUCGGGGAAGGCAGUGGGAAAAUCUGGAUGAGCAACGUCGCUUGCACUGGAAGCGAAUCUUCCUUUUUGGAUUGCUCUUUCUCGGGCUGGGGGAAUCACGGCUGCGGGCACGGGGAAGAUGCGGCUGUGAUCUGUGAGGAAGAGCUGGAUAUCAGACUAGUUGGUGGCAGCGAUCGUUGUUCCGGAAGAGUGGAGGUUAGCUACAAUGGACAGUGGGGAACGGUGUGCGACGACGGCUGGGACAUGAAUGACGCCAAGGUGGUUUGUAAUCAUCUGAAUUGCGGCGAUCCCGCCUCUGCACUUCCGGGAGCAUACUUCGGCCAAGGGAAGGGGAACAUUUGGAUAGACGACGUCAAAUGCGAUGGAAAUGAAUCUUCGCUUUGGGAAUGCUCCUUUUCACCGUGGGGGGAUAACAACUGCGGCCACGGGGAAGAUGCAGGAGUAAGAUGUAUAGAGGAGCUAGACAUCAGGCUGGCAGGUGGCAAUGAGCGUUGCUCUGGCAGAGUGGAGGUGAAUCAUAAUGGACAUUGGGGGACGGUUUGCGACGACGGCUGGGACGAGGAGGAUGCAAAGGUUGCUUGCAAGCAGUUGGGCUGCGGCUCUCGCGCUUCAGCUCUUUCGGGAGCGCGCUUCGGACAAGGGAGCGGGAAAAUCUUGAUGGACGACAUCGCGUGCAGCGGCAGCGAAUCGUUCCUUUGGGAAUGCGCCUUCCCGGGAUGGGAGGUUCACAACUGCGGUCACGAAAGUGAUGCAGGAGUGAACUGCACAGAAGAGAUGGAUAUAAGGGUAGUAGGUGGCAGCGAUCGUUGCUCAGGAAGAUUGGAGGUCAGUUAUAAUGGAGAAUGGGGGACCGUUUGCCACGAUGGCUGGGACAUGAAGGAUGCCAAAGUCGCGUGUAAACAGCUCGGUUGUGGCCCUCCCACUGCAGCACUCCGGAGCGCUCACUUCGGGCAAGGGAACGGGAAAAUCUGGAUGGACGAUGUCGCGUGUAAAGGAGAAGAGUUGUCCCUUUGGGAAUGCUCCUUCCCAGGAUGGGGUAUUAACAACUGCGGUCACGGAGAAGAUGCGGGAGUGAACUGCACGGAAGAGCGUGAUAUAAGACUGGUUGGUGGCAGUGACCAUUGUUCCGGUAGAGUAGAAGUGCAGCACGAUGGACAAUGGGGGACGGUGUGCGAUGAUGGUUGGGACACAGAAGACGCCAAGGUCGUUUGUAAUCAGCUUGGUUGCGGGUCUGGUGUAACAGCCCUUCAUAGUGCUUACUUCGGGCAAGGGAACGGGAACAUUUGGAUGGACGAUGUUGCGUGCAGUGGAAGUGAAUCUUCUCUUUCAGAAUGCACCUUUGCAGGAUGGGGUAAAAACAACUGCGGUCACGGGGAAGAUGCGGGAGUGAACUGUUCGGAAGAACUGCAUAUAAGACUUGUAGGUGUCAGCGAUCGCUGCUCGGGGAGAGUGGAAGUGCAGUACAAUCGACAGUGGGGAACAGUUUGUCACGACAGCUGGGACAAUGAAGACGCUGGGGUGGUCUGCAGGCAGCUGGGUUGCGGCUCACGCGCUGUAGCCCUUCCCGGUGCGCACUUCGGUGAAGGGAGCGGAAACGUUUGGAUGAACAAUGUUGCGUGCAAUGGCAACGAAUCUUCACUUUGGGAAUGCUCCUUCGCUGGAUGGGGAGUUAACAGUUGCGGCCACUGGGAAGAUGCUGGAGUAAACUGUACAGUAGAACUGGACAUAAGACUCGUUGGUGGCAGCGAUCGUUGUUCGGGAAGGGUGGAGGUGAAUUACAAUGGACAGUGGGGGACGGUGUGCGACCGAAACUGGGACACUGCAGACGCCCAAGUUGUUUGCAAUCAGCUGGGCUGCGGCGCUCGCUCAUCAGCAUUGCAGGGUGCCCACUUUGGACAAGGCAGCGACAACAUUUGGAUGACCGAUGUCGCCUGCAUUGGGAAUGAACUUUCCCUUUGGGAAUGUCCCUUCCCAGGAUGGGAGACUAACAACUGCGGCCACGAGAAAGAUGCAGGGGUGGAGUGUUUGGAUGAACUGGAUCUAAGGCUUGCGGAUGGCAGUGAUCGUUGCUCGGGAAGAGUGGAGGUGAAUUACAAUGGGCACUGGGGAGCAGUUUGUGGCGAUGGCUGGGACAAGGCGGACGCCCAAGUUGUCUGUAAGCAGUUGGGUUGCGGCCUUCGGGUGGCAGCUACAGUGAGCUCCAAUUUCGGGCAAGGCAGCGGGAAAAUUUGGAUGAACAAAGUUGCGUGUAAUGGAAGUGAAUCUUUCAUUUGGGAAUGUGCCUUCGAUGGAUGGGGGAUUAAAAACUGUGUUCACGGCGAAGAUGCGAGAGUCAACUGUACAGACGAACUAGAUCUACGGCUCGUAGGCGGCAGCAAUAAUUGUUCGGGAAGAGUGGAGCUGAACUACAAUGGACAAUGGGGGACGGUUUGCGACAGAGCCUGGGACGUGGAAGACGCCCGGGUCGUUUGCCAUCAGCUGAGUUGUGGUUCUGCCGCGUCGGUCUUUCGAGGAGCCCAUUUCGGGCAAGGGAGCGGAAAAACCUGGGUGGACGAUGUUGUGUGCACAGGCACCGAAUCUGCCCUUUGGGAGUGCGCCUUCACGGGAUGGGGGAUUGACAACUGCGGUCACGAAAGGGAUGCGGGAGUGAAGUGCGAAGACGAGCUCAGUGUCAGGCUAGUAGAAGGCGAUGGAUAUUGUUCGGGACGAGUGGAGUUGUACUACAAUGGAAAAUGGGGGACUGUAUGCCACGACGGUUGGGACAUGGAGGUCGCUAAGGUUGUUUGCAAGCAACUUGGUUGCGGCUCUCCCAUCUCAGUACUACCGGGAGCACACUUCGGGCAAGGGAGUGGUGUAAUAUGGAUGGACGACCUCGCGUGCAGUGGGAAUGAAUCUUUCCUGUGGGAAUGCUCCUUUUCUGGAUGGGGGAUUCACAACUGCAAACACUGGGAAGAUGUAGCAGUCAACUGUACGGAUGAGCAAAUACGACUAGUUGGUGGCAACGAUCGCUGCUCAGGAAGAGUGGAGGUCAAGCACAACGGGCAGUGGGGGACGAUGUGCGACGAUGGCUGGGACAAUGAAGACGCCAAGGUGCUUUGCAGUCAGCUGCGUUGUGGUGCUCCUACCUCGGUUCUUUCGGGAGCACACUUCGGGCAAGGGAGCGGCAAAAUCUGGAUGGACGAUGUGGCGUGCCAGGGAAACGAACUUUUCCUCUGGGACUGCGCCUUCCCGGGAUGGGAGAGUCACAACUGCGGUCACGGGGAAGAUGCCGGUGUGAUCUGUGCGAGGAAUUGACAUAAUUUCGCUUAAGGGGAUGGAUCAGAUUUUCCCCGUACUACAGUGACAACGUUUCAAAAACCUAAACGGUGUGUACUACAAUUUUCGGGAUUGAGCAUUCAAUAACCCCUUUGCAAUGCACCGGUCUCCUGUAAACACUGUCAACCGCCAGGACUUUGAAACCUGCUUGUGUUUCGUUGAGCAUGAGGCUUAAUGUCCAACAAAUUCAACAAGUCUAUAGUAAAUUUUCCUGUGCCAGCUGCCUAAUCGUUCCAACGAAAGGAAGAUAUGCCUCGGAUGGUAAGGGUCCUUAAAUGAUGAAUGCUGUCUUCCUUAGGCACCGCUUCUUUAACAUGUCUUUGAUAGCGGGGAUGGAUGUGCCUGAGAUGGAGUUGUGCGAGUCUAGAAUCCUUUGCAUAUUC